GUGCUAAGUCGUAGUAGUUAUAGUAAAAUUUGUCCAAUUAAUUAAUCCUCCAGUUGAUGUGCAUAUUUAUAGUCCGGCGGAGACGAUAUAGUGCAAAUGCAAUCCAGUUGAAGACAUACAAUGCAUGAUGCUAUUAUGAAAGGAUGCAUGUUUACCAUUAUGGAAUGGCUUUUAACACUCCUUCAGAAUGAUACUGCUUCAGUAACACUUGGACUGUCUGAUAUAAGAGGAAGGGAAGAAAUAUUGAAGAUCAAUCAGGAUAUUAUUAUUGAACUCGGACAUUCUAGGCAAGCUUGUUUUGAUCUUGGACGCAAUACAUUGUAAUCCUGAAGCACCACCAAGAACGUUAUUGGGCGUGCUUGCGACACAUGGUCUUUCCUUUCUGAUGAUUUAGUUCACAACACGCUCACAAAGGAUAAAAAACUUUCUACGGUUUGCUUUUGGGUCUUUGCAGAUAUUAUCACCUAUACCUUUAUUUACAAUAGUAGUACUAUUUAUAUCUCUCUUUAGUACUUGCAAAAAUAAUGACAAAAUAUUCAAAAAAUUUGUGAGACAUCCUGACAAGUGAGAGGCCAAAUAUUACGGUGAGAAUCAGAAGUACACAAUAUAUAAGGAAACAAUGUAACUCACAAACAGUGGAAGCUGAACCAGGUAAUACGUAAAGCUUACUUAUUCUCGCUUAAUUCGUUAAUGAUUUAUUUACUGAGACAUAUUUGGUGCCUAAUUUAAUUCUUACAGGCUAAAGCAGAAGGACCACCUGCUAUUUUUUUAACAAUUUGCUUUUUAGAACCGUUACUUAGUUAUGACUCUAUGAAGAGCUACCUUACCGGUAAUUCUAAGGAGCUGGAAAGCAUUUCUGUGUGCUCAACUAUUCAAUGCACGUACUCCAGAAGAUAAUCCUGUGUACUUUUAUAUUUGCUUGUUUUGAUUCUUUUCUUAUUGCUAGGUGCAUCACACUUCUUUUAUAGAAGAGAUCUCUAUAACAAAGAUAUUUUAAAAGGAUCACACUGCUAUUUAUAUUACAAUGAUUUGCGUGUUGUUAAUAGUGUCCAAUGUAAAUAACUGUUUUCCUGAGGUUCCUUUUCCUUUGCAACUGCAGGGAAAAGCUUAUCGAGAGCAAUUGACGCUUGAUGCAAACUCUUGUAAUUAUGUUGGAUAGGUUUGUCUGUACUUUGCAUUAAACUUGUAUGGUUUGUCUAUAGUAAUAACCAUACAAGUUUUGACUUAUCAAUUUCUAAUAAGAUAGGUCCAUAUGAAAAGCGUGUGACAGAUCAAAUAUUAAUGAACCUUGUUUACUAACUUUGUUG
Molecule: long non-coding RNA, 1307 nt
Organism: Nicotiana attenuata
Lineage: Eukaryota; Viridiplantae; Streptophyta; Magnoliopsida; Solanales; Solanaceae
Exons: 4
Source: RefSeq, a predicted model, not a curated record